CAGUGUUACAGCUCUUUGAGAAUUCAUCCAGCAGGUUUUCUAGUUCCUACCAAAGGGGGAGAAAUUCAAA
This is a small nuclear RNA of Panthera leo (lion), 70 nucleotides long. Its record names the gene U7. It matches the Rfam family "U7 small nuclear RNA". From Rfam's summary of the family: Animal histone pre-mRNAs are spliced by a different mechanism than nuclear pre-mRNAs and self-splicing introns. This processing involves the U7 snRNP, which contains only one RNA species: U7. Lineage: Eukaryota; Metazoa; Chordata; Mammalia; Carnivora; Felidae. The record is from Ensembl.